AGCGAACGCUGGCGGCAGGCUUAACACAUGCAAGUCGAGCGGGCACUUCGGUGUCAGCGGCAGACGGGUGAGUAACACGUGGGAACGUACCCUUUGGUUCGGAAUAACGCUGGGAAACUAGCGCUAAUACAGGAUACGCCCAUUUGGGGAAAGGCUUGCUGCCGAAGGAUCGGCCCGCGUCUGAUUAGCUGGUUGGUGGGGUAAUGGCCUACCAAGGCGACGAUCAGUAGCUGGUCUGGGAGGAUGACCAGCCACACUGGGACUGAGACACGGCCCAGACUCCUACGGGAGGCAGCAGUGGGGAAUAUUGGACAAGGGGCGCAAGCCUGAUACAGCCGUGCCGCGUGAGUGAUGAAGGCCUUAGGGUUGUAAAGCUCCUUUGUCCGGGACGAUAAUGACGGUAACGGAAGAAUAAGCCCCGGCUAACUACGUG
RNAcentral lists this ribosomal RNA (433 nucleotides) under uncultured bacterium. Its description in RNAcentral is "partial 16S ribosomal RNA". It matches the Rfam family "Bacterial small subunit ribosomal RNA", at positions 29 to 507 of the family's 1533-position model. The record is from RNAcentral.